UACGAAGGGGGCUAGCGUUGCUCGGAAUCACUGGGCGUAAAGCGCACGUAGGCGGACUCUUAAGUCGGUGGUGAAAUCCUGGAGCUCAACUCCGGAACUGCCUUCGAUACUGAGAGUCUCGAGUCCGAGAGAGGUGAGUGGAACUGCGAGUGUAGAGGUGAAAUUCGUAGAUAUUCGCAAGAACACCAGUGGCGAAGGCGGCUCACUGGCUUGGUACUGACGCUGAGGUGCGAAAGCGUGGGGAGCAAACAGG
This 253-nucleotide ribosomal RNA is filed under the name uncultured bacterium. Its description in RNAcentral is "partial 16S ribosomal RNA". It matches the Rfam family "Bacterial small subunit ribosomal RNA", at positions 524 to 776 of the family's 1533-position model. The record is from RNAcentral.